RNAcentral lists this transfer RNA (72 nucleotides) under Paramuricea clavata. RNAcentral's name for it is "tRNA-Thr". It matches the Rfam family "tRNA". From Rfam's summary of the family: Transfer RNA (tRNA) molecules are approximately 80 nucleotides in length. Their secondary structure includes four short double-helical elements and three loops (D, anti-codon, and T loops). Lineage: Eukaryota; Metazoa; Cnidaria; Anthozoa; Malacalcyonacea; Plexauridae. The record is from RNAcentral.
ACCGCGUAGCUCAGUUGGCAGAGCAUUGGGCUAGUAUUCCAAAGGUCGUAGGUUCGAUUCUCACCGCGCGUG